Molecule: ribosomal RNA, 210 nt
Filed under: Mycosphaerellaceae sp.
Lineage: Eukaryota; Fungi; Ascomycota; Dothideomycetes; Mycosphaerellales; Mycosphaerellaceae
Description: partial large subunit ribosomal RNA
Source: RNAcentral
AAGCGCUUGCAACCAGACUUCGUGGCGGUGUUCCGCCGGUCUUCUGACCGGUCUACUCGCCGCCGCGAGGCCAACAUCAUCUGGGCCCGCCGGACAAGACCUCAGGAAUGUAGCUCACCUUCGGGGGAGUGUUAUAGCCUGUGGUGAUGCGGCGCGGCCCGGGUGAGGUCCGCACUUCGGUAAGGAUGUUGGCGUAAUGGUUGUCAGCGG